Non-coding RNA from Equus caballus (horse), 3667 nucleotides. NCBI's taxonomy places the organism in Eukaryota, Metazoa, Chordata, Mammalia, Perissodactyla, Equidae. The record is from RefSeq and is a predicted model, not a curated record.
UCAUUAUUAAGAAAAUGAAUCUGUAAGCCACAGAUUAGGAGAAAAUAUUACCAGGACAUUUAUGUGACAAAUAUAGAUAUCCAGAAUAUGCAAAUCAAAAGCAAGAAAUUAUCAAACCAACAGGUUCUGCGAGAGCCUACUAAAUUUAGAUGGAAACAGGUACUGACAAUAGUCCUAUGGUACCCUGGAGCCAGCCCUAGGGCCCAGGGGAGAGUUUCUAAGCAAGACUAUCCUUUCCCGGACAACGGCAUCUUAGGACACGAUUCAGUCACUCUUCUAGUUCCGUUUAUUCACCAAAAUAUGAUUACUAAAAUCUUACCAGAGAACAUUUGCAAGCCAACUUGUAAGACCAUAUUUUCAUGCAAUAGCCAGUUUAACUAAACUGUCUGAGUUUUACAACUACAGAAAAGCCGGAAGGAUUUGGGAAGCUGCUCCAAAAGAUUCCUGAAAAUCCUAUGUGUGAGUGGGUAAUCAGGGCUGUGGUUAUUAUAAUUUAAUAAAAGAUAAAUAUAGAAAUUUAUCAGAGUCUACGAAUCUCAGAAGGAAACAUUUACACAGUUUCUUUUCUCAAGGAACCAAACUUUAGAGAAUUAGAUGGUGAGUCCACUCAGAAGAUUUAUAUGAAUGUUUGAAUUUCUGCCCUCUGCAAUUUUCUGAGGGUGAAAGUAGAAUGCAUUAUGGUGAACUAAGAGGGUUAUUUUAAUGCUAUAAAUGAACACGUUAGCUAAUCAAGCAUUGUGCACUGGUGAGAAGAGUUUAAAUUCUAAGGUCUCAAUCAAAGUAUUGGAAAGCUGUUACCUCUCAGAUUACAGCCAAAAGAGCGCCAUUUUUUCCCUCAUCAUUAAAGCGGUAUUUGCAUAUUGUAGAGAUUUUGGAAGGUCUUAAAAUAACAGAAGUAAAAAAACUACGUAUAAUUCUACAUUCAGUUUUUCUUACUCAUGUCAUAGUUGAGAUCAUUUCAUAUCUUGCUCUUUUUCUCCUAGCAUUUUAUUAUAAGCAUUCCUCUAUAUUUAAAAUUCUCUGCAAACUAUUUUUCCUGAACUAUUUCUUUUAUGGUGGAUAUUCAAAUUGUUUCUAGUUUUUCUUUCUUUAUGGAAUGAUGAGUAAUGCUGUAAGGAAGAUCUCUGUGCAUUGUUUUUUAAAUCGAUUUCAGAACCUAUUCUUAGAAUUCUACCCAAAAUUCUAUGUUACUGUGUCAAUGAAUAUGAAAAAUUUAAAGGAUCUUGACAUCCCAUCAGACUGAUUUCCAAAACCUUUGUAUCCUUUUAUGAGUAUCCUAAGAGUACUUUUUCCACCAUACCGUUAACAGCACUGCAGGUAUUCUCAGUUUAGAAUCUAUGCCAAUUUAGUACGUGAGAAAUACUCUCUUUGAAUCUACUCUUCAGAAAUUGGUAACUUUAGUUAAUUUUUACUUACUUUAGUGGCUCAUUUCCCAACUUGGAAUAUAUUCAUUCCAAGUUUUAAAAAGUGCUUUUCUACAGUGUUGUUGUCCCCUCCGGUUAUCCUUCCUUCUCUUUCUUAUUAACGCUCCACUGUCCUCCUCCCAAUUAUGAAGGUCGCUUAAGAUUCCACUCAGAAUGUCCACCAGACAUUGAUGAGACUGCUGGAGAGCCUUGUGGGGGAGGGAUGGCUACAAGAGAUCGCUUUUAGGUCUAUUCAUCAGAAAUUUGUCGAAGGCUGAUUUGAAACAUUCCUAUGGCAAGGACUGAAUACUCUCCAUUUGCUAAAAUCAUCAAAAUAGCCUUAAUCUGAAUCCUGAUGGCAUGUGACUUGGGCUUCAGCUCCAUAUCACUUCUCAUGAAGUGAUCGAAUUCCUGACGAUUGCCUGGGCAUGGUUAGAAGACAAGGCACUCCGUAUUCCCAGAGGCAUGCUUCUUCUCUCUAUAUCUUUUGGCAGACUGCUAGACCAUUCUUAAGCAUCCAAAUCUUGGGAAUACAAAAACAUCAGUUUCUUCUUCCCUGGAAAACCAUUAUCCUCUCAGGUCUCUACAGUACAAGAAGAAUAACUUAAGAACAGGGCAGGUCACACUGGCUCAUGUGACCAAUUACUGGUAGCCAUUUGACAAUAGGAUUUUCUUGUUUUAAUGAAAAAGAUACACUGGGGAAAGUAACAUGGGAAAAGCAAAUGGAUAAAGAGAGACAGAGUCACAGAGAGAGAAACAGAAAGAGAGAAUAGAAAGCCACAGAAGAAGAUAGACAGACACAGAAGGAGACAAUCAGACACAGUGAGAAACACAGAUUGUAUCUAUGUGUCUCAGUGCGUGUAUGUGUGUGUGUGUGCGUGUGCGCGUGAGAGAGUGAGAGUGAGCAAAAGAGAAAGAGAGAGAUAGAGAAACACUAAUAUGUAACAGGGGAUUUGACACUAAAUAUGCAGUGCUGAUGUCCCAAAAUAUACCUUUGCCUGCAAGGCUCCUGCAGGUUCAUUUCAGCACUUGGAAAGGCUGACCUGAUUUGCAUGGUCUCUCAGAGGCUUCCCGACGUCCCUGUCCAUGAGUCUGUCCCCUUGUAGAUGAUUGCCUCCAGGCAGAGAGCUGCACCUGGGCAAUAGGAGAGGACACGAGGCAUAAGACUACUGAGCCGACGAUUCCAUGAGAUGAUUCUAGCAUAAGUAAGUAACCGGCAAACUAGAAUUCAAAGUGAGGGAGCAAAAUCUACAGGUAGGAUAUAAAACACACCAUUUACAGGUUUUUUUUAGAUAAUUAGAAAGCCUUAGGGAAUCUUAGGAAACAGUGACUAAUUACUAAGGAGGAAUUACGAUCUUUCAGACAAUGACAGAGCCCAGAAGGCUUGAAAGUUGUUCCUUGGCAGACGGUGUCCCUAAGUUCCUCCACCAAGAAAGUCCUAUUUGUCAGCCUCUUCAGAUUUAAAGAUGAGACACUUGCUAUAAAAGGACCCCAAAGAAGAAAAUGACUUCAGAUAUUGUCACUGAGCUUGUGGGUUGCUGUUUCCGGAAGAGCAGGUGGGCAGCAUACUCUGUGAAGUGCUGAUGGUCCCUUCUCAAGAGAAACACCUGGAAAAAGUAGCAGUGGUUUUAGAGCAGAGAGAGAAAGCAAGCUUUUCUGGGAUGAUAUCAUCAGUUAUUUAUAGUUGGAUAUAUUUGUCUUCUUCCGUAUAGGAUUAGGAGCUGAAGGCCCUCAUGUACAGCAGAAGGAAGAGAGAUUAAACGACUUGUUUUCUCCUUUGGAGGAGCACGGACCCUAUCUUUUGACUGCAGGAAUCGCCCACUGAUUCAUGCCCAGUCAUCCUGGUUGGAGACUUUUCCAAGCCACACUGGUUGAGCUGUAACCAAGGAUGUCUGUAACCUGGCAGGCUUGUUAACAGAAGGACGUCUUUCAAGGUCAUCCUAACAUCAAAUCCGUCUUGUCUCAGGGUGGCAGAAUCCUACUAGGUUGGUAUGCCAGUGUGUGAAGCCAGACCAAGGACGGUAGAAAGGCUGACCAGAACAUGGGAGCUAGCAAAUGAGUCUGAUCGCCUGAGUUUUUUGUUGUGGAGUUUCACUGAGGCUCCCAUUGCCAAAGAUGCUUCUUUGAAUGAUUCCAGACCACGGCACUCUCCACAGCUGCACUACCAUACAUGGGGUCGCCUUGCCAGAAUGGAAGUGUCAUCGUAUUGUUAUUACUUCUUCGUUUUCCUUUCAGAAAGAAUAAAAAAGGCACUUUUGACUAGA